Molecule: long non-coding RNA, 6781 nt
Filed under: Olea europaea (common olive)
Lineage: Eukaryota; Viridiplantae; Streptophyta; Magnoliopsida; Lamiales; Oleaceae
Description: long non-coding RNA (OEUR_LNC014010)
Source: RNAcentral
AAUAUAGUCGGAUCGCAUGUAAAAAUAGGUUUAAUUCUACUUGAGAGAGAUUGUUAAACAAAUUAGGAAUAUUGGUCUUCAUAAUUGAAUCGUGUUGUCAAUUUUAUAAAAUUCGAAUUAAAGGGGAUUGAUAUAAGGGGAUUCGGGAUCCUAGUACGCAUUUCGUUAUCACAUUUUUAUAAAACUUGCAUUUAGUUAUAAUCACGCAUUUAAUCUAGUUAAUUUAGGCUUUAUAUUUAUAAGUAGGUUAUUAAAUCAUAAUUUAGUUAACGAAAAUAUCAAGAAUUUCUAUUGUUUCGGUUAAGGCGACGAUAGGUAAAAUUGAACUAAUCAAUCUUUGUGGGAUGAUAUUUGAACUCAUUUAAUCCACUUUAUUACUUGUUAAUGAACCGUACACUUGCGAUAGUUUAAAAUCGAAAGAAAUAGUUUCGCGAACAAGUUUUUGGUGCCGUUGCCGGGGAUUGAGUUCAGUUUAAUUUUUUUUUCUAGGCACUAAUUUGAAAUUUAAUUUUAGUUUCUCUUUUAGUUUUUUUUUAUUUUUUUUUUUGUCUUUGUUUUGUUUUUAUUAUUCGACCUAUCUUUUUAGUAUCUAAGCGCUACCCUUAUUUUUCUCUUAAAUUUGCAUGCUAAGAUCGACUAGAGGAGAAUUGAUUCCGGUCGAUCCUGAAAUUGAACGCACUUUUCAUCGACUACAAAGAGAGAACAGAGAAGCAAAAUUGUAAAUGGCUAACGAACUAAACAAUCCUAUUAUCCCAGCCAAUGAAGGAGAGACAGUGAACGAAGGAAAUGAGAUUUUGGGCUACUUCUUGACUCCUCAAGUGAUUCAAAGUCAGUCCAGCAUUGUGUAUCCACCAUUUGGGCAACCCAAUUUUCAAUUGAAGAUGAAUGUGAUAUAGCUGUUCCAAAAUGGACAUCAAUUUUAUGGCAGAGCCGAAGAAAAUCCACAUACACACAUAUCUUGAUUCUUGGAUAUGUGUCAACACUUCAGAUAUCAAGGAAUCUCGGAUGAUGCUAUUAGGCUAAGGCUUUUUCUACACACCUUGCGGGACAAGGCACUUGAAUGGUUGGAUUCGCUUCCUAUUGCAAGAAUCACUACUUGGAAUGACCUGGCUCACAAAUUCUGCACGAAGUACUUCUCACUAGCCAAGAUAGCUAAAAUGAGACAUGAAAUAUCCAUUUUCAGCCAGGGAGAAUCUGAAUCAUUUAACGAAGCCUAGAACAGAUUCAAGAAUAUGCUCCAGAAGUGCCCUCAACAUGGGUUCGACAAAAAGACCCAAAUCCGAUUCUUUUAUGUAGGGUUACUCCCGUACUUCAAAAUCAUGGUGGACUCAUCAUCAAAUGACUCAAUUUCUACACGAACAAUCGAUGGAGCACUCGAAUUAUUUGAAAGAAUAACUACUUCAGCGAUGUGGGCAUCUAAGCGGGUAACUCAGAAGAAACCUCCGGGUGUUUAUGAGGUCGAUACUUAUUCAGCCAUAUCUGCGAAGAUUGACUCAUUGUUUCACAAGGUAGAAAGCAUAUCACAAACAACACAAAAUAAGAAGUUUAGCUGUGAAGAAUGUGGAGCUGAGCAUAAAACAUCAGAGUGUCCAAUUUUAAUGCAAGGAGUUAAGCAGACAGAUUUUGCACAAUGGGGGCAACGCCAAUAGAAUAAUCAAUAUGGGGAAACAUACAAUAACAGUUGGAAGAAGUAUCUCAAUUUCCCUUGGAGCAACCAGAAUCAGAAUAGGCCACAGGGUCAGUUUCAACAGCAAGAGAAAAAAACCUCAAUUGGAAGACAUGUUCGGGAAAUUUAUGGAGAGGACCAAUCAGUACAUGGAGAAAACUGAAAUCACUCUGUAAAACUAGAAUGCUGCCAUCAAAAACUUGGAAACUCAAAUGGGAUAGAUGGCCAUCGCUUUGACUGGAAGAGCACAGGGAAAUUUGCCAAGUAACUCGAAAAUCAACCUAAAAGAGCAUGCCAAGGCCAUCACAACUCAAAGUAGAGUGCAGCUACCUGAUAUGCAUGUCAAAAGGCCAGUCAAGAACAAAGAGAAUACACCUUUUGUAGAAGAAGAAAUUGUGGAGCAGGAUGAACAACCAAACACAUCUACUGCAAAGGAAAGCUCAGAAAAAGUAGGGAAAAAAGAAACAGUUAUAGUCAACCCAUAUGAACCUCCAAUUCCAUUUCCACAAAGGUUGAAAAACCACAAAAUGGAGCAACAAUACAAGAAAUUUCUGGAAGUCUUCAAGAAGCUCCACAUCAACAUCCCGUUGGCCAAUGAUCUAUUCUAGAUGCCCAGCUAUGCAAAGUUUCUGAAGGACAUAUUAUCAAAUAGACGCAAGCUGGAAGAUCAUGAAAUAGUAAUGCUAACCGAAGAGUGCAGCGCAAGAAUUUAGAAAAAGCUUCCACCAAAAUUGAAAGAUCCAGGGUGUUUCACUGUCCCUUGCACAAUUGGUGAUUUUUAUUUUAAUAAAGCAUUAUGUGAUCUUGGUGCAAGUGUUAACUUGAUGCCACUCUCUAUUUUCAAGAUACUAGGAUUGGGAGAGCCUAAAGUAACUACAGUAACCCUACAGCUGGCUAAUCGAUCACUUACACAUCCACGAGGGAUUAUUGAAGAUGUAUUGGUCAAAGUAGAUAAACUUAUAUUCCCAGUGGACUUCUUAAUUCUAGACAUGGAAGAAGACAAGGACGUGCCUAUCAUAUUGGGGCGACCAUUUUUGGCAACUGCAAGAGCUCUCAUAGAUGUGCAACAAGGAUAAUUGACUCUGAGACUGGGUGAGGAGCAGGCCACUUUUAAUGUUUUCGAAGUAAUGAAAUAUCUCAUCGAGCCAGACAACUGUUUCCAGAUUGAUGAGAUUGACAUAGGAAUCCCCUACAAUUACGAGUUGAAGAAACCGCCGGACAUACAGGAGGCUGAUAUGAUGCACCCUCAAUCCAUUCUCACUAACUCAAAGGAGAUCGAGGUAUACACCCUGGAGUCUCAAACGGAUGAUGAGGGAGAGUCACACCACGUGAAAAAGGACAGAUUUGAAGUGUGGAAGAUAACUGCAAUGCGGAACAAGACCAUAUUGAACAAACUAUACAAGACCUCCCAAGCCAUAUUUAAAGUGCCAUAACACACCUAGGCCAAAAGUCGGGCUAUCGACUAUAAAAUAGCGCUGGUUGGGAGGCAACCCAACGUUCUAUCCUUUCAUUUACUUCGUUUUGCAAUAGUUUAGGAACUUUCCAUUUUUUUUAGCAUUAUCAAUAGUUUUAGGUCAUUGAUCAUACAUCUCUAUCACAUGGAGUCUAGGCAUGGUCUACACGAGUCCCAAUGCACUGAUCACGAGUCAUGAGGUUGAAGUCCUAUUUUAGUCAGUCAUGUGUCUAAUUGAACAAAGUGCAUGUUUUGAAUGAAGUUUCUUUGGUGAUUCACAUUUUUGUGAUGUAAACCUUAUGUUGAGACAUAAAUUAUGCAUUCUGCACACCAACAAUGUACACAUGCACCUUGAAGCAAAUUUGUGUGAUUUGUUCACUACGUAGGUUAUUUCUUGCCUCAAUUGCAUCUGUUUACACCAUGUGAACUAGUACGCAUACUUUGCACUUUUACAAGAUGUCACUAAAAAGAAUGUCACAGGGAAAGGAGAAACAUUGCUAGUCCUAGUUUUCAUUCACCACCUCCAUAUAAAUCAGGGAAGUACUCGUAGCCCAUCUUGCGCUUUUAGUUUAUUAUUGUCCUUCAGUUAUGUCCGUUUACACUUUUAUUUCAUCUUCACAUUGAGGACAAUGUAUUAUCUAAGUUUGAGGGUGGGUGACGUAAUCCUGGACACGAACAUCUUUUCACCAUUUUGCCUAUAUACAUCAAUAUAUAUGUUUCAUGACUGCAUAUUAUGUGCUUGAUGAGUGUUUAAAAAAAAUCUUUGUAUUUUAUUCAGUCUACUAUAUUUCCAUUUUUGCAUGCUUGUGUGGGCUUGAUAGCCUUGUCGACUAUGAUGUGACUAUUGGACUGGUAUAAUUCAUAAACUUUGGAUAUAGUGCUGAAUAGAUUAACCAAUACUUGUGAUGCAAUACUUAACAUUAUCUAUGCACGCUAUUCAUGCUUGACAUGUUAGGUGAAUGACUGGAUUUUGAGUAUAAAGUAGGAAAAGAAUGAUAACCCUCUAUUGAAUUAACACGCAAACCACCUUAAGACAGUUUGGAAUUGGUUGAGCUAUUAUAGGGAACAUUGAGAUAAGUGGGGGGCUCCGUGCAUGAAAUUUUAUUGUGUGGAUUGCCUAGACUAGUGAGGUGAAGAUUAGGUGAAAAUCUUAAAUUAGGGGUUGGUUUUGAAAACUAAAUGCUAGAACAAUAAGGGCAUAAAAUUAAUUUGUGAGAAUAAGACACUUCUUUUCAUGCCUUUAUGACCCGAGCAAGUCAGCCUGUAAGAAAUUUCAAAAUCUGAUGCCCUAAGGUCAACUAGCCUGGGAGUCACCAGCCUAAAGCUCGCUAAAGGGGUCAUAUAGAAAGCAAGAGAGAAAGAGGUUAAUAAAAAGUCAUCUGAUCGAGCCUUUAUAACUCGAGUGAAUAAGCCUGCAAGGGUUUAAAAUCUGGUGCCCUAAAACAAAUUAGUUUGGGAGUGAUCGGCCUAAAGCUCGCUAAAGGAGUUAUAUAGAAAGCAAAUGAGAAGAUGAUAAUGAUAUUAAAAAAAAAAGAAAAUUAGAAAAAUUAAAGAAAAGUGAAAAAAACAAAAGAGAGGUAAUAACAUGAAGAAAAGCCCUUGGACAUUUGGUUGAAAAAACUAUACCUUUAAGGCGAGGCAAGUAACCUAAUUUAAUUUUGAGUGUCAAAGCAAUCAAACUUAGGAGAGCCUUCACUUGUUAACAUGUAAACUUGUGAUAGUGAGAUCAAUCCAAACUACAAGAGGGUAAGGACUACGACUAUGUAAAUUCCUAAUUUUAAAACACAAUCCCGGGAUAAUUGAGUGAAAAGAAUAAGUUUGGUGGGUUGUGUAUCUCUCGAGUGAGUAAGGAUAUAUUUGACCACUUGGGGUCGGGACUCAAAUUCAGCAUGAACCUGAUAUGUUGGCAUGAAUUCACACACACACACGUCGAUUUGCAUUUAACAAGUAAAGGUUGAUGCCAUUUUUGCACUGAUAAAUUUUCAUAAAGUCAAAUACUUAGUCCAAUCCUGAGCCACAGCAGGGUAUUAAGUCAGGUUUGUUCAGAAUUAAGUCACUAUCUUGUUUGAGGACAAACAAUAGUUCAAGUUUGGGGGGUUUGAUAACAAACAUGACUUAAUAAUGAGCAAAAUGAUUGAAUUGUGACUUAAUCGCGUUAUAUUUGUGAAUUGUAGGGAACAUCGAUGAACAUGGUGAAAUCCAGUAGAAAAGAGCCGAAAAAAGACUAAAAUGGAGCAAAGUGAUAAUUCGGGGAUGAAGUUCCAAAUAAUCCAUAGAUAAGAUGGGAAAUGGAAUGAAGAUUCAAGAGUUUUAGAGGUCAAUUGGAUGAGGAAAGGAGUCAAAAGGUGAAAUAUGAUCAAAGUAUUAUCAAGUAUCAACUUUCAGGCGAAAAAAUGAUGCUCGUGAUUUCUAGUCUCUACUUGAGAUCCAUUUUUGACAUAGUAAACAUCAGAAUUUGAGGAAGUCUAUUUCUAUUAAAAAUGUAUAUCUUUGGGUUUUCUUCCCAGUCCACUUUGAAUCACUUCAAUGGGAGAUCAGGAGAGAAAGUUACGACCAAGAUACUAAAAGCUAUCCAGCGGAAAGAAUGGUACAACUAUGUGAUAUAGUAUAAAUUCUAUGCGGUCGCAUGGAAGCCUCUCGAGAAUUUUUUCUCAAAAUUUUUUUACUCAAUGCAACAACAUAGAAAUGUACUAUGUGGUCGCAUAGAACAAGAUUCGGGGACGAUUCAGCAGUUUCCUUAUUUCGCCAAAACUCUUAUGGAAAGGAGAUUUUUAGGGUUCUAUAUAAACUAAAACUCGACCAGAAUGAUGGGACGCCACUUUUACAGCAAAAGAGGGGGAAUAUACACAAUUUUGGAGGAUUUGGAGAGGAAGAACAAGGCAAAAAUAAGGCAAUCCACUUCAAGAUUCAAGAUUUCACUUCAAAAAUCAAUUGGGUGAUGUUCUUUCUUGGUUUUGAUUAUUUUUUCUCUUUAUUUCCCAUUAUGUUAGGCUAGAUUUUCAUGUGCUAGGAUUUGCGAUGAACUUUAUAUUAUGAACCCUUAAUCUUGAAUUUUAUGAAUUUGACGUUAAAACAUGUUUUUAAUUAUUGAAUGAUUGGCAUGGAUUUUAUUUUCUCUACAAUUAUGUGCACAAUAGUUGUAUGAGCUUUGUGGCUUGUUUUAUCCUCGAGAGAUGGAAAAUAAGUUAGACAUAAUGUUAAUUAUCAUAAAGUUCGAUAGGGGAUAGAAAUAUACUGCUAUGCUUUAUGUGAUCUUUAAGUAUUCAUAAAUAUUUAAUACAUUUUUAUAUGUUCGCAUCCGUCAUAGAAAUAUAGUCGGAUCGCAUGUAAAAAUAGGUUUAAUUCUACUUGAGAAAGAUUGUCAAACAAAUUAGGAAUAUUGGUCUUCAUAAUUGAAUCGUGCUGUCAAUUUUAUAAAAUUCGAAUUAAAGGGGAUUGAUAUAAGGGGAUUCGGGAUCCUAGUACGCAUUUCGUUAUCACAUUUUUAUAAAACUUGCAUUUAGUUAUAAUCACGCAUUUAAUCUAGUUAAUUUAGGCUUUAUAUUUAUAAGUAGGUUAUUAAAUCAUAAUUUAGUUAACGAAAAUAUCAAGAAUUUCUAUUGUUUCGGUUAAGGCGACGAUAGGUAAAAUUGAACUAAUCAAUCUCAGUGGGACGAUAUUCG